GCAAACACCUCCUUCCGCAGGCACAACCUCACAAUGGCAGAGGCCACAAUGGGGCGUGUGUGCAGUGUGCGCAUGCGCCCGUGUGACGUCACCUUCAGUCCUUGAAGUGAAGCCUUGUGACUGUUCCCCCAGGCCCUGAUCGACUUCUUUUCAUUGCAAAGGGAGGGAAAAAGCUUUGCAUCGUGGACAGAAGUGGAACACCAGAAUGUAAGCAAACAAGACUCAACUGGGUGGACAAGUGUAUUCCACUGUGGAGAGCAGCCCAACAAUUAUUUGUAGUAGUGGAUGGCCUGUCUGCUGAUGCUGAUGUUCAACAACAUCCCUAACCUCUCUCUACCCACUGGAUGACUCCUCCUCCCCCAGCUGUGAUAACCAGCAGUGUCUCCAGACGGUGCCAAAUGUCUCUUUUUAGGCAAAGUCACUAUUAAUUAAGAACCACUAAUCUAAAAGAUUUUGCUUCUGUAUCUCAUGUACCAAAAAAAUAUAGUCCUAGAGAUCACAAUCUGUGUGUGUGUGUGUGUGUAUGUGUGUGUGUGUGUGUUUCCUGUGCCAUGGGUCCCCAAGAUCACACUCAGGUUGGAUGAUUCACUACGAGGAUUCACAGAACUCAGGAUAUUGGCAUAUUCACAGCUAUGAUUUAUUGCAGUGAAAGGAUACAAAGCAAAAUCAACAGAGAGAAAAGGCACAUCAAAGUUCAGAGGAAACCAGGUGCAAGCUUCCAAGACCUCUUUCCCUUUGGAGUCACAGAGAUGCAGUUAAUUCUUCCAGCAGUGGGUUGUGAGAAUAUGUGUGGAGUUCUGUCCAUCAAAGGAGCUCAUUAGGCACUUAAUAUUCACUGCCCAGCAUGUAUGAAAACUCCAGACUCUCAGAAGGGAAGCAGUUGUUUAGCCAAAACCACAUUGUUUGUACAAAUAAUUCAUGUAUGCCACGCUUAUUAGUUAAUAAUGAUGGGGAUUUUCAAGAAACCCAAGUUCCUAAGUGCUAGCCAGGGUUCAACCUUGUAAGCAGGUCUUCCUAAGGGUAAUGGUCCCAGCCUGCUAUGCUAACUCUAUCUGCACACUUCCCUACACAAAGUUUUGUGAAAUGCCAACUACAUUUUAGGCACCCAAAGAUUUACAGAACAAAUGAGUUAACCAAGUAAUCAAUCUAUCUUGUUUUCCAUAAGAAUCCAUUAAACUUCUUUAUUUAGACUUUUGUUCCUAGGGAUUCUUAGCUACAUAGAGGGAAAUAUUCCCAGCAAUGAAAUAUAAUCACAAAUUAUAGAAUUAAAUAGAAGAUUUUAGUUAAUUAUGCCACCCUCGACACGCAUUUCUAGAAAAUCUCCAAACAAUUCAAUAUGUCACAGAGGACUCCAUUUUUGGUGAAAAGAACAUGGGGCAUGGUAAUGUUCUGGUCAUUAAAUUCCCAGACACAACCACCAAGAGAAUGAGCAAUGUAAAUCUAGACUACAUGAACAACCCUUUUCUUCCAAGAAGUCUGUGCCAUUUUGGAAGAUAAAAUCACUCAACGGUAAAUUUUGUUUAAUAGUUGACUUAUCUACUCUCCUCCAGUCCAGACAAAGGGCUCAUAAUUAAUAGGAUGGCUAGCAAAAAUUAGCUUUAUCUGAUUUUUCAAACAAGAGAAUGAGCCCUCUUCUUAUGCUAAUGAAACCAUAUGGCCCUCUUUAUAACACCUGUCCUCAGGGGUAGGUUGGGUUUUAUUUUUGCAGCACCCUUGGCCACCCACCCUCCCUCACCCCGCGUGCAGUCUUUAUGAAGGGCAAGACUGUCACUGCUCUUGUCUCUCACCUUGGUCUCCCCAGAAUCCUGCUUAGUCUGCACCAAACUUAUUUAUUUUAAUAAAGCUUUAGGGGAUCACGGUCAAGAGUCUAUAUACCCCCAGGGUAUUUUAGUUUAAAGGCAAGCAUGUUUAAAGGCAAACAUGGUUUUCAAAAAGUAUAUUAAAGACAAAUCAGCAGGCCUUUCAGGAUUUGUUUCCUUGAUUCUAAGGUGUGCUAAGAACGGUUCCAGAUGGACGCUGACACCAUUCGUGACAUUCGUGACGGCGCUUGGGAGGGUCCUUCGGUUGCCAAAACACUGUAGUAGACACCUCUAAGCGUUUUCCACAGCGUGCCCUAACAAAUAGUAUCUUCUGUGUUUGCAUGUUUUGAGAACAGGAUUGGGAAACAUUCAUUAGAGGAAGCACUUUGCUCUUAAACGCUGUCCUCAUGCCUUUGAAUGCACGUAUUCCUGGUUAGACAGAGAGGGUGCAUUGGGCACAGGCCCCUGGCCAUGAGUUUGUUUGUAGAUUAUUCCUAUUCCCUCUCUCCCUCCAUGCUGUGCUGUUUGUGUUUCUUCCUGAAGAACUGUACCUUAAGGGAACUAUUCUGUACCCAUUAUUUUCCAAAAGGUGAAAAGGGCUCAGCAAAUGCUGAUGUCUGGAAGGGCACCUUGACUGAGAUCACAGAGUUAACAUCCCCCUGACAGUGGUCCAGGAAGCACGGUCCAGCUAGACGAGCCAGUGUGAACAACCUUCUAAUUCCAGGCCGAACUUACUCGCCAUAUGCAAAGAACAUAGGUUUGUGUGACAAUUUAAGUUGAUUCUAGCAACUUCCAGCUAAUCCUUGAAGACUUGUCACAAUUAGAUAUUCAACUGAGGUGCACGCCGCGGACCAUCUGUGAGAGGGCAUUACUUCAUUUCUCUCAGGGAAUAGGGAGACUCGUUCUGAUGAGGGGCCCACCCUGGCUUUUUGUGAAGGCUGGAGAGCGCCAGGUGGUUGGUGCAGAUAAAUACAGAGAACAAUAGUGAAGGAAAACACGCCGGGGCUCUGCCCGCAAAGCUCUGCAAUAUUGCUGUGUACCUACAACAGGUGGUGUCCACUGAGACCCUCUGUGUCAGGCCUGUGUACACGGCUAGCAUAUGACUCACGUUCCGUAGCUCAGAUUCCAAGAAACAAUAAAAACACAGAUGGUACGAAAUUUCAGAGAGCAAUAAGGGCAUGAAACCCUCAAGAAAUACAACUAUGAAAUCCUCCCGUUCUCAACGGGACUGUACUUACAUUGCUACCUGCAGAAAGAGCUCGUGGGAGUAAUUACGGGGUUAGGUGGUCUUCAGGUUAAAAUGUUAAUACAUAAUACUUAGCCUGUUGAGACGUUUCAAGAGAAACGUAGAUUUCCCAGGAAAACUGGAGAGUGGCCUAUUAACUACACAAAUGUGAUCUAUUAGGCCUGAUUUUUAAACGUGAAAAGAGGGAUUUUUCCAUCAACCUGAAGAGGAGAGAGAAUCUUUACAAGAUCUCCUCGUCCUGAGCCCAGUACAUAACAAGGAAAGCAAAGUGGAAUGGAAAAUAAGACCAAGGAAAAUAAUGCUGUGUCUUUCAGGGGUGCCUAAGCAUUUUAUGAACGUGAAUAUCCAUAGUAUCUAGCUGUGUUCCAGGCACGGACAGAUCCAAACAUGAUGCACUGAGUGUCUCUGGGCCAGAGACAGAAGUCUUGAAAUAGGCCAAUGCCAAAGAGAGGAGCACAUUCAGCAGUGAGAGGAGGUGCAGGACCGAGCGUAUUAAAUCCACUGGCGAGCCGUGUUCCUCCAUGUCCCUCCAGAAUUUAUUACACACCCCAAGGCAUAAUGACGUCCAUGAAUCACUGUAAAACCUGUUUGGCAAAGAAUUUUAAAACUUCAAAAGAAACAAGAGAUUGGAGACGAUAAUCACAGAUGGAAGGAUAAAUCCAAAAUGAUACGAAGAAAAAAGAACCAGACAUAAGCUUCAUGAGAAGAGAUUUUUUUUUUGUUUCUAUCUGCUGCGUCCCCACUACUGAGAACUGUGUUUGCACACAGUAGGCACUGAAUAGAAUUGUUCAAUGAUGGAACAAAGUGUAAUAGAAUAUAAUUUGUAUUAGAACAAAUAAAUUACCCAAUGACCUA
Long non-coding RNA from Felis catus (domestic cat), 3900 nucleotides. RefSeq lists it as uncharacterized. NCBI's taxonomy places the organism in Eukaryota, Metazoa, Chordata, Mammalia, Carnivora, Felidae. The record is from RefSeq and is a predicted model, not a curated record. The transcript is spliced from 4 exons.